RNAcentral lists this microRNA (22 nucleotides) under Caenorhabditis elegans. RNAcentral's name for it is "cel-miR-784-5p". Its record names the gene cel-miR-784-5p. The record is from miRBase by way of RNAcentral. Lineage: Eukaryota; Metazoa; Nematoda; Chromadorea; Rhabditida; Rhabditidae.
UGGCACAAUCUGCGUACGUAGA